RNAcentral lists this microRNA precursor (71 nucleotides) under Paramuricea clavata. The record is from RNAcentral. Lineage: Eukaryota; Metazoa; Cnidaria; Anthozoa; Malacalcyonacea; Plexauridae.
UUUGUAUUACGUGUGGAAAUUGUUACCAUUUUCGGCUCAAAAAUGGUAACAAUUUCCGCACGUAAUACAAA